This is a long non-coding RNA of Lagopus leucura (white-tailed ptarmigan), 274 nucleotides long. RefSeq lists it as uncharacterized. The transcript is spliced from 3 exons. The record is from RefSeq and is a predicted model, not a curated record. NCBI's taxonomy places the organism in Eukaryota, Metazoa, Chordata, Aves, Galliformes, Phasianidae.
CUGAAGAGUUAGUCAGACCCGAAGGUAUCGGCGCAGCCAAAGAGUGACAGUACAGUGUACUCCUUCACUCCUCGUUAGUAUAGUGCUGUGAUAACUUCAUGAAAUUGCAGUGAAUGCUCCAGACUUCCACCCACAGCAACCAUGGGUUUUUGUGGAGCUGCUUUCUGCAGGCAUGCGGCAGCCCUGAGGACAGGAUGCAAAAUGCUCCAGCUCACAGCUUCUGCAUGACUGUCAUCCCUGCCAGCCACCAUGCUGCAGCCCUCCGGGUCCCAUC